ACUCAACGCGAAUUUUUUUAUAAAGGGUGAGUCAGAUUUGCUAAAGCGUGCCUUGUACAAGGAUACUUGAUCUAUCUGUUAGCCUUAAUCUUGUUUUAUAAGAGUUU
This 107-nucleotide small RNA is filed under the name Flavobacteriaceae bacterium. RNAcentral describes it as "6S RNA". It matches the Rfam family "6S-Flavo RNA". The record is from RNAcentral. Lineage: Bacteria; Pseudomonadati; Bacteroidota; Flavobacteriia; Flavobacteriales; Flavobacteriaceae.